This 306-nucleotide ribosomal RNA is filed under the name uncultured Polynucleobacter sp. RNAcentral describes it as "bacterial SSU rRNA". It matches the Rfam family "Bacterial small subunit ribosomal RNA", at positions 1 to 309 of the family's 1533-position model. The record is from RNAcentral. Lineage: Bacteria; Pseudomonadati; Pseudomonadota; Betaproteobacteria; Burkholderiales; Burkholderiaceae.
GAUCGAGUUUGAUCCUGGCUCAGAUUGAACGCUGGCGGCAUGCCUUACACAUGCAAGUCGAACGGCAGCACGGGUGCUUGCACCUGGUGCGAGUGGCGGAACGGGUGAGUAAUAUAUCGGAACGUACCUUAUUGUGGGGGAUAACGCAGCGAAAGCUGUGCUAAUACCGCAUAAUCCCUUAGGGGGGAAAGCGGGGGACCGUAAGGCCUCGCGCAAUUAGAGCGGCCGAUACCCUGAUUAGCUAGUUGGUGAGGUAAAGGCUCACCAAGGCAACGAUCAGUAGCUGGUCUGAGAGGACGAUCAGCC